This 497-nucleotide ribosomal RNA is filed under the name uncultured bacterium. Its description in RNAcentral is "partial 16S ribosomal RNA". It matches the Rfam family "Bacterial small subunit ribosomal RNA", at positions 28 to 507 of the family's 1533-position model. The record is from RNAcentral.
GAUGAACGCUGGCGGCGUGCCUAAUACAUGCAAGUCGAGCGAACGGACGAGAAGCUUGCUUCUCUGAUGUUAGCGGCGGACGGGUGAGUAACACGUGUAUAACCUACCUAUAAGACUGGGAUAACUUCGGGAAACCGGAUCUAAUACCGGAUAAUAUUUUGAACCGCAUGGUUCAAAAGUGAAAGACGGUCUUGCUGUCACUUAUAGAUGGAUCCGCGCUGCAUUAGCUAGUUGGUAAGGUAACGGCUUACCAAGGCAACGAUGCAUAGCCGACCUGAGAGGGUGAUAGGCCACACUGGAACUGAGACACGGUCCAGACUACUACGGGAGGCAGCAGUAGGGAAUCUUCCGCAAUGGGCGAAAGCCUGACGGAGCAACGCCGCGUGAGUGAUGAAGGUCUUCGGAUCGUAAAACUCUGUUAUUAGGGAAGAACAUAUGUGUAAGUAACUGUGCACAUCUUGACGGUACCUAAUCAGAAAGCAACGGCUAACUACGUG